Molecule: ribosomal RNA, 253 nt
Filed under: uncultured bacterium
Lineage: Bacteria
Description: partial 16S ribosomal RNA
Rfam family: Bacterial small subunit ribosomal RNA
Source: RNAcentral
UACGGGGGGGGCAAGCGUUGUUCGGAAUUACUGGGCGUAAAGGGCUCGUAGGUGGCCAACUAAGUCAGACGUGAAAUCCCUCAGCUUAACUGGGGAACUGCGUCUGAUACUGGAUGGCUUGAGUUUGGGAGAGGGAUGCGGAAUUCCAGGUGUAGCGGUGAAAUGCGUAGAUAUCUGGAGGAACACCGACGGCGAAGGCAGCGCCCUGGCCGACAACUGACGCUCAGGCACGAAAGCUGGGGGAGCAAACAGG